GGGGAUGUAGCUAAGUGGUAGAGUACUUGCCUAGUAUAUGUAAGGACCUAGGUUCAAUUCCUAGCCCUA
This 69-nucleotide transfer RNA is filed under the name Cavia porcellus (domestic guinea pig). It matches the Rfam family "tRNA". From Rfam's summary of the family: Transfer RNA (tRNA) molecules are approximately 80 nucleotides in length. Their secondary structure includes four short double-helical elements and three loops (D, anti-codon, and T loops). Lineage: Eukaryota; Metazoa; Chordata; Mammalia; Rodentia; Caviidae. The record is from Rfam by way of RNAcentral.